RNAcentral lists this transfer RNA (60 nucleotides) under Rhyacophila kando. RNAcentral's name for it is "tRNA-Ser". The record is from RNAcentral. Lineage: Eukaryota; Metazoa; Arthropoda; Insecta; Trichoptera; Rhyacophilidae.
GAAAUAUUUUAUAAAAAGCUUCUAACUUUUUUUUAGUGGUUAAAUUCCAUUAAUAUUUCU